UCUAAAAUAAAUCAAAAUAAAUUGAGAAAAAAAUCUACAAAAAUCAGCAAUAUCAAUACCUGAAACUUCAUCAGAAAAGAUUCAGAGUAAAUUUAAGGUCAGUAAAUGAAAAUGGUAAAUUGAUAAAAAUCCCCAAUUCUUUAAUACAUAAGAAAAGAGAAAAAGAGCAGACACUUAGUUUAAUAAACUAAUGAGACACUAAGACAGUAAUGCACGCAUGAGUGAAUGAUAUAUUCUUUCUCAGACAAAAUAUAACUGAUAUAUCUAAGUGUGCAGAAAUGAAACCAAGAAAACACAAAGUAAAAGAUUGGUCUUGAGAACUAUCUUACAGGAUUUGGCAGG
RNAcentral lists this unclassified non-coding RNA (342 nucleotides) under Hevea brasiliensis (rubber tree). The record is from RNAcentral. Lineage: Eukaryota; Viridiplantae; Streptophyta; Magnoliopsida; Malpighiales; Euphorbiaceae.